GUGGGGAAUCUUGCGCAAUGGGCGAAAGCCUGACGCAGCCAUGCCGCGUGAAUGAUGAAGGUCUUAGGAUUGUAAAAUUCUUUCACCGGGGACGAUAAUGACGGUACCCGGAGAAGAAGCCCCGGCUAACUUCGUGCCAGCAGCCGCGGUAAUACGAAGGGGGCUAGCGUUGCUCGGAAUUACUGGGCGUAAAGGGCGCGUAGGCGGACAGUUUAGUCAGAGGUGAAAGCCCAGGGCUCAACCUUGGAAUUGCCUUUGAUACUGGCUGGCUUGAGUUUGGGAGAGGUGAGUGGAACUCCGAGUGUAGAGGUGAAAUUCGUAGAUAUUCGGAAGAACACCAGUGGCGAAGGCGACUCACUGGCCCAAUACUGACGCUGAGGCGCGAAAGCGUGGGGAGCAAACAGGAUUAGAAACCCCUGUAGUCC
This 425-nucleotide ribosomal RNA is filed under the name uncultured bacterium. RNAcentral describes it as "partial 16S ribosomal RNA". It matches the Rfam family "Bacterial small subunit ribosomal RNA", at positions 354 to 796 of the family's 1533-position model. The record is from RNAcentral.